GAAAUGUCGCAGAUAUUCUGUUCGUUUCGUGUAUUCCGAUUCAAUUUCAAAUUUGGAAAUGCUAUGCAAUUUUUUUCUGUUCAAGUUUUUUUGAUCUCCCAAGGAAUGCAAGAAAUAGGUCUUUAAUUAUCAAUUGAAACAAUCAAGAGACAUCAAGAUUAAUUUAAUCUUCUGUGGAUUUGCUAAAAUAUUGGACAAAGAAAAGAAAAAAUGGCAUCUUCGAACUUCUAAAUUACCGGCCAUCUUGACGUUCUCUUGCAUGCGUAUUUGGCAAGUGGUAUCAUUUUGACUCGUCAUUUUGUCGACUCAUCAUUUCAUCCAUUCAUCUCUUCAUCAAUUUACCAUUCAGCGAGAGUGAAGAACAUUCAGCUGGGCUGAAGAAACUUUUGCUGGUCAUACCGGACAGGAGUGCAGGUCUGAAACUCCUCUCAAUGAAGGACCUUUUACAAGUGACUGAAUUGAUAGUGUAUUAAUCAAGGACACCUGUUGACAUUUGAAAGGACAAUCUGCUGAAUUUGUUACUGAUCCAUGAACAAUGGACAUUUUUUUUUUCUCAGAAGACUUAAACACACUUUCUUCUCCACUUUCUUGGACUUUUUCCUUUGCUUGUUCUUCGGAAUGAGACUAUGUUGAAAUAUCUUUU
Long non-coding RNA from Argiope bruennichi, 643 nucleotides. RefSeq lists it as uncharacterized. The transcript has 3 exons. Lineage: Eukaryota; Metazoa; Arthropoda; Arachnida; Araneae; Araneidae. The record is from RefSeq and is a predicted model, not a curated record.